This 83-nucleotide non-coding RNA is filed under the name human gut metagenome. RNAcentral's name for it is "TPP riboswitch (THI element)". It matches the Rfam family "TPP riboswitch aptamer (THI element)", at positions 9 to 90 of the family's 105-position model. From Rfam's summary of the family: Vitamin B(1) in its active form thiamin pyrophosphate (TPP) is an essential coenzyme that is synthesised by coupling of pyrimidine and thiazole moieties in bacteria. The previously detected thiamin-regulatory element, thi box was extended, resulting in a new, highly conserved RNA secondary structure, the THI element, which is widely distributed in eubacteria and also occurs in some archaea. RNAcentral also lists the same sequence under 1 other name. The record is from RNAcentral.
AUCGGGGGUGCUGCUUUCGCGGCUGAGACGGCUUUUGCCGAACCCUUUAACCUGAUACGGAUAAUGCCGGCGUAGGAAGAAUC